GCCGGAGUGGUGAAACUGGUAGACGCGCUGGACUCAAAAUCCUGUGAGCUUAUGCUCGUGUCGGUUCGAUUCCGACCUCCGGCACCA
This 87-nucleotide transfer RNA is filed under the name Deltaproteobacteria bacterium. Its description in RNAcentral is "tRNA-Leu". It matches the Rfam family "tRNA". Rfam says of the family: Transfer RNA (tRNA) molecules are approximately 80 nucleotides in length. Their secondary structure includes four short double-helical elements and three loops (D, anti-codon, and T loops). RNAcentral also lists the same sequence under 2 other names. Lineage: Bacteria; Pseudomonadati; Myxococcota; Myxococcia. The record is from RNAcentral.